AAACCGGUCCAAUCCAUUUAUAACCCAAUCUUCCAAAAUAAAAACACCCCGAAAAAUAAUACCCGAAUAAAAAUUACCUUUUACUAGCUAAAAUUUACCAUUUUUACCGUCGUCGUAUUUUCCUCAUACGAAUAAUCCUCCGCACAUAAUCGUCCCCGAAACCCCUCUAGGGACCAAUUAAACUAUUUACUUAAUGAUCGAGACAGUAAAAUUCUUAUUAUAAUCACGCUAGUAAAUAAGGUAAAAAUAUAAGGGUCGGGAUGUGACAAUUCUCCCCUCCUUAUAAAAAUUUCGUCCUCGAAAUUUACGUACCUGUCAUCCGAAGAGAUAGGGAUACUGCUGCAUCAUUUGCUCCUCUGAUUCCCAAGUAGCUUCUUCUACUUGAUGACUCCUCCAAAGCACCUUGACAAGCGGGAUUGUCUUGUUCCUAAGCACUUGCUCCUUUUGGUCGAGAAUCUGAACCGGUUCCUCUUCAUAGGACAAGUCUCUCGUCAAACUAAUCGGCUGCUCUUGCAGCACAUGAGAAGGAUCGGCAAUAUACUUGCGAAGCAUGGAUACAUGAAACACAUUAUGUAUCCUAGCUAACUCUGGAGGCAAGGCUAAUCGAUAAGCAAGUGAGCCAACUCGUUCUAUUAUCUCAUACGGGCCAAUAUACCUCGGGCUAAGCUUCCCACGCUUCCCGAAGCGCACAACCUGACACGUCCCACCCCGAAUUUCAUCCUGAAACCUAGAGUAAGUCGUGCGGGGACCACCUCCAAGGAAAAUUUACUGAAAAGAUUAAGAAAAUCUCCCUUGCAGAUGGACAACCCUAACUCGAAAAUUUCAAAUUACACUCUUAAUUUAUCACUUCUGAACAUCGCAUAAAAUACAAACAUUCUAAAGUAUUCAGAGCUACUAAACACAAGCGGAAGCAAGAAAACACAAGUAGGUUGAACAGGUAACCUACUGAUGAAAACUGGCCGAAAAGCGGGUGACUAUGCCUCGUCUCCUACUAGAUCCAACCCGAACUCUGCAGACUGGGCAAUUUAAACGAAGGGCCCAGGGGAAAACAUUUAAUAACGUUAGAGUGAGUGGACAAAAAUAAAUUAAUAAAUAAAAUAUUUAUGUUUCCCCCAAAUUAAUUUCUAAGGAAAAAUCGAAUGCAUGCUGCAAGCGAUAAAACCUUUAUCCCAUAAAAUAUCGAGCCUCUCAGAUU
This 1195-nucleotide long non-coding RNA is filed under the name Fragaria vesca (wild strawberry). RNAcentral's name for it is "long non-coding RNA (FVES_LNC005267)". Lineage: Eukaryota; Viridiplantae; Streptophyta; Magnoliopsida; Rosales; Rosaceae. The record is from RNAcentral.